CAUGCUCAUGACGAACGCUGGCGGCGUGCUUAACACAUGCAAGUCGAACGGAAAGGCCUUUUCGGAGGUACUCGAGUGGCGAACGGGUGAGUAACACGUGGGUGAUCUGCCCUGCACUCUGGGAUAAGCCUGGGAAACUGGGUCUAAUACCGGAUAGGACCGCACUUUAGUGUGUGUGGUGGAAAGUUUUUUCGGUGUAGGAUGAGCCCGCGGCCUAUCAGCUUGUUGGUGGGGUAAUGGCCUACCAAGGCGGCGACGGGUAGCCGGACUGAGAGGUUGGUCGGCCACAUUGGGACUGAGAUACGGCCCAGACUCCUACGGGAGGCAGCAGUGGGGAAUAUUGCACAAUGGGCGCAAGCCUGAUGCAGCGACGCCGCGUGGGGGAUGACGGCCUUCGGGUUGUAAACUCCUUUCGCCAGGGACGAAGCGUUUUGUGACGGUACCUGGAGAAGAAGCACCGGCUAACUACGUGCCAGCAGCCGCGGUAAUACGUAGGGUGCAAGCGUUGUCCGGAAUUACUGGGCGUAAAGAGCUCGUAGGUGGUUUGUCACGUCGUCUGUGAAAUUCCACAGCUUAACUGUGGGCGUGCAGGCGAUACGGGCUGACUUGAGUACUGUAGGGGUAACUGGAAUUCCUGGUGUAGCGGUGAAAUGCGCAGAUAUCAGGAGGAACACCGAUGGCGAAGGCAGGUUACUGGGCAGUUACUGACGCUGAGGAGCGAAAGCAUGGGUAGCAAACAGGAUUAGAUACCCUGGUAGUCCAUGCCGUAAACGGUGGGCGCUAGGUGUAGGGGCCUUUUGGGGUUUCUGUGCCGUAGCUAACGCAUAAGCGCCCCGCCUGGGGAGUACGGCCGCAAGGCUAA
RNAcentral lists this ribosomal RNA (862 nucleotides) under Corynebacterium propinquum. Its description in RNAcentral is "bacterial SSU rRNA". It matches the Rfam family "Bacterial small subunit ribosomal RNA", at positions 19 to 897 of the family's 1533-position model. The record is from RNAcentral. Lineage: Bacteria; Bacillati; Actinomycetota; Actinomycetes; Mycobacteriales; Corynebacteriaceae.